RNAcentral lists this transfer RNA (69 nucleotides) under Ictidomys tridecemlineatus (thirteen-lined ground squirrel). RNAcentral's name for it is "Spermophilus tridecemlineatus (thirteen-lined ground squirrel) tRNA". It matches the Rfam family "tRNA". Rfam says of the family: Transfer RNA (tRNA) molecules are approximately 80 nucleotides in length. Their secondary structure includes four short double-helical elements and three loops (D, anti-codon, and T loops). Lineage: Eukaryota; Metazoa; Chordata; Mammalia; Rodentia; Sciuridae. The record is from Rfam by way of RNAcentral.
GGUGUUGUAGCUCAGUGGUAGAGUGUUUGCCUCGAAUGUGGAAGGCCCUGGAUUUGAUCCUCAGCACCA